AACGCACUUCCCUUUAGAGUGU
RNAcentral lists this microRNA (22 nucleotides) under Gorilla gorilla (western gorilla). RNAcentral describes it as "ggo-miR-521". Its record names the gene ggo-miR-521. The record is from miRBase by way of RNAcentral. RNAcentral also lists the same sequence under 5 other names. Lineage: Eukaryota; Metazoa; Chordata; Mammalia; Primates; Hominidae.